GGGCAGGCCCGGCGCGGCAGAGCCUUCCCAACCCCGCCAGGGUCGAGAGACAGCAACGGUACGGAAGUGUCUCUGGGUGCCGCCGGUCACCUGCCCGGG
RNAcentral lists this signal recognition particle RNA (99 nucleotides) under Chloroflexota bacterium. Its description in RNAcentral is "signal recognition particle sRNA small type". It matches the Rfam family "Bacterial small signal recognition particle RNA". From Rfam's summary of the family: The signal recognition particle (SRP) is a universally conserved ribonucleoprotein involved in the co-translational targeting of proteins to membranes. Archaeal SRP consists of a 7S RNA and homologues of the eukaryotic SRP19 and SRP54 proteins. Lineage: Bacteria; Bacillati; Chloroflexota. The record is from RNAcentral. RNAcentral also lists the same sequence under 1 other name.